AUUGAACGCUGGCGGCAGGCCUAACACAUGCAAGUCGAGCGGAGCGGCGGACGGGUGAGUAAUGCCUAUGAAUCUGCCUGGUAGUGGGGGAUAACGUCCGGAAACGGGCGCUCAUACCGCAUUCUAUCAGAUGAGCCUAGGUCGGUUUAGCUAGUUGGUGGGGUAAAGGCCUACCAAGGCACCGAACCGUACCUGGUCUGAGAGGAUGAUCAGUCAAACUGGAACUGAGAAACGGUCCAGACUCCUACGGGAGGAAGCAGUGGGGAAUAUUAGACAAUGGGCGAAAGCCUAAUACAGCGAAGCCGCGGAUGUGAAGAAGGUGUUCGGAUUGUAAAGCACUGUAAGUUGGGAGGCGUUAACAACAGAAUAAGCAACGGCUAACUUCGUGCCAGCCGCCGCGGUAAUUC
RNAcentral lists this ribosomal RNA (407 nucleotides) under uncultured bacterium. RNAcentral describes it as "partial 16S ribosomal RNA". It matches the Rfam family "Bacterial small subunit ribosomal RNA", at positions 30 to 526 of the family's 1533-position model. The record is from RNAcentral.